UCCUGCCAGUAGUCAUAUGCUUGUCUCAAAGAUUAAGCCAUGCAUGUCUAAGUGCAAGCCAAAUUAAGGUGAAACCGCGAAUGGCUCAUUAAAUCAGUUAUGGUUCCUUAGAUAAUACUCCAAUUUACUUGGAUAACUGUGGUAAUUCUAGAGCUAAUACAUGCAAACAGAGUUCCGACUCGAGAGGGGAGGAACGCUUUUAUUAGAUCAAAACCAAUCGGUCGCCGGCGUUCGCGUCGCGCGCAUCCGCAUUCGUAUUUGGUGACUCUGAAUAACCACUAAGCAGAUCGCACGGUCUCGUACCGGCGACGCAUCUUUCAAAUGUCUGCCUUAUCAACUGUCGAUGGUAGGCUCUGCGCCUACCAUGGUUGUAACGGGUAACGGGGAAUCAGGGUUCGAUUCCGGAGAGGGAGCCUGAGAAACGGCUACCACAUCCAAGGAAGGCAGCAGGCGCGCAAAUUACCCACUCCCGGCACGGGGAGGUAGUGACGAAAAAUAACGAUACGGGACUCAUCCGAGGCCCCGUAAUCGGAAUGAGCACAACUUAAAUACUUUAACGAGUAUCCAUUGGAGGGCAAGUCUGGUGCCAGCAGCCGCGGUAAUUCCAGCUCCAAUAGCGUAUAUUAAAGUUGUUGCGGUUAAAAAGCUCGUAGUUGGACUUGUGUCCCACGCCGUCGGUUCGUCGCCCGUCGACGUAACCGCACGGUUAUGUGAGUGGGACGUCCAGCCGGUGGGUCGUCAGGUCGAGCGCUAUGCUGGCCUCGCCCCUUGGCGGUGUCCGCCGCGGCCUCGUCGCGCAAGCGGCGUGUGUCGCGGGGCCCGCCUCGCAGGGUGUCGCUGCGUCGGCGCGCUCGGUGCCGGACCCAUGUUACUCGUCUCGGUGCUCUUAAUCGAGUGUCUUGACGGGCCGGCUCGUUUACUUUGAACAAAUUAGAGUGCUUAAAGCAGGCCAAUUGCCGCCUGAAUAUUGUGUGCAUGGAAUAAUGGAAUAGGAUCUCGGUUCUAUUUUGUUGGUUUUCUGAACCAGAGAUAAUGAUUAAUAGAGACUGACGGGGGCAUUCGUAUUGCGACGUUAGAGGUGAAAUUCUUGGAUCGUCGCAAGACGAACGGAAGCGAAAGCAUUUGCCAAGAAUGUUUUCUUUAAUCAAGAACGAAAGUUAGAGGUUCGAAGGCGAUCAGAUACCGCCCUAGUUCUAACCAUAAACGAUGCCAACUAGCGAUCCGCCGGUGUUCCUCCGAUGACCCGGCGGGCAGCUUCCGGGAAACCAAAGUGUUUGGGUUCCGGGGGAAGUAUGGUUGCAAAGCUGAAACUUAAAGGAAUUGACGGAAGGGCACCACCAGGAGUGGAGCCUGCGGCUUAAUUUGACUCAACACGGGAAACCUCACCAGGCCCGGACACUGGAAGGAUUGACAGAUUGAUAGCUCUUUCUUGAUUCAGUGGGUGGUGGUGCAUGGCCGUUCUUAGUUGGUGGAGCGAUUUGUCUGGUUAAUUCCGAUAACGAACGAGACUCUGGCCUGCUAACUAGUCGCACAUUGACGACAUCCGCAUUCGUGCUGUCGGCGACAAAUAUAAACUCUUCUUAGAGGGACAGGCGGCUUCUAGCCGCACGAGAUUGAGCAAUAACAGGUCUGUGAUGCCCUUAGAUGUUCUGGGCCGCACGCGCGCUACACUGAAUGGAUCAACGUGUGUCUUCCCUUGACCGAGAGGUCCGGGUAACCCGCUGAAACCCAUUCGUGCUAGGGAUCGGGGCUUGCAAUUAUUCCCCGUGAACGAGGAAUUCCCAGUAAGCGCGAGUCAUAAGCUCGCGUUGAUUACGUCCCUGCCCUUUGUACACACCGCCCGUCGCUACUACCGAUUGAAUGAUUUAGUGAGGUCUUCGGACAGUCGCGCGGCGGCGCUCGCAAGGGCCCGUCGAUGUUCGACUGAAAGAUGAUCAAACUUGAUUAUUUAGAGGAAGUAAAAGUCGUAACAAGGUUUCCGUAGGUGAACCUGCG
This 1995-nucleotide ribosomal RNA is filed under the name Kathroperla perdita. Its description in RNAcentral is "SSU rRNA". It matches the Rfam family "Eukaryotic small subunit ribosomal RNA". Lineage: Eukaryota; Metazoa; Arthropoda; Insecta; Plecoptera; Chloroperlidae. The record is from RNAcentral.